Lates calcarifer (barramundi perch) is the source of this 130-nucleotide small nucleolar RNA. NCBI's taxonomy places the organism in Eukaryota, Metazoa, Chordata, Actinopteri, Centropomidae. The record is from Ensembl.
AAAGCAGGUCUGCAAUUGCAGCACUCCAUUGCAGUGGAGUACUGUCAUUAACCCUGCUGAGAGCAUCUUUCUGCGGUAGAGCUCUCACUCCUUGCUGUGAUGGGGAUGAGGAAGCUCUGCAGCUGAACAU